GCCCCGUUGGUCUACUGGCGAAGGAUACCGGCCUUUCACGCCGGGGGGAUGGGUUCGAUUCCCAUACGGGGUA
This 73-nucleotide transfer RNA is filed under the name Planctomycetota bacterium. RNAcentral's name for it is "Planctomycetes bacterium (marine metagenome) tRNA-Glu". It matches the Rfam family "tRNA". Rfam says of the family: Transfer RNA (tRNA) molecules are approximately 80 nucleotides in length. Their secondary structure includes four short double-helical elements and three loops (D, anti-codon, and T loops). Further hydrogen bonds mediate the characteristic L-shaped molecular structure. tRNAs have two regions of fundamental functional importance: the anti-codon, which is responsible for specific mRNA codon recognition, and the 3' end, to which the tRNAs corresponding amino acid is attached (by aminoacyl-tRNA synthetases). tRNAs cope with the degeneracy of the genetic code in two manners: having more than one tRNA (with a specific anti-codon) for a particular amino acid; and 'wobble' base-pairing, i.e. permitting non-standard base-pairing at the 3rd anti-codon position. The record is from RNAcentral. Lineage: Bacteria; Pseudomonadati; Planctomycetota.